UACGGGGGGGGCAAGCGUUGUUCGGAAUUACUGGGCGUAAAGGGCUCGUAGGUUGCCAACUAAGUCAGACGUGAAAUCCCUCGGCUUAACCGGGGAACUGCGUCUGAUACUGGAUGGCUUGAGUUCGGGAGAGGGAUGCGGAAUUCCAGGUGUAGCGGUGAAAUGCGUAGAUAUCUGGAGGAACACCGGUGGCGAAGGCGGCAUCCUGGACCGACACUGACACUGAGGAGCGAAAGCGUGGGGAGCGAACAGG
This 253-nucleotide ribosomal RNA is filed under the name uncultured bacterium. Its description in RNAcentral is "partial 16S ribosomal RNA". It matches the Rfam family "Bacterial small subunit ribosomal RNA", at positions 524 to 776 of the family's 1533-position model. The record is from RNAcentral.